Molecule: ribosomal RNA, 1350 nt
Filed under: Alcanivorax sp. HI0044
Lineage: Bacteria; Pseudomonadati; Pseudomonadota; Gammaproteobacteria; Oceanospirillales; Alcanivoracaceae
Description: bacterial LSU rRNA
Rfam family: Bacterial large subunit ribosomal RNA
Source: RNAcentral
GCUGAUGGGAAACGGGUUAAUAUUCCCGUACUUCUUAUAACUGCGAUGGAGAGACGGAGAAGGCUAUGCCUACCGGGCGUUGGUUGUCCCGGGGAAAGGCUGUAGGCUGAGGUGUUAGGCAAAUCCGGCACCUUAAGGCUGAGAGUCGAGACCACUGGUCCUUUGUGACCGGGAAGUGGUUGAUGCCAUGCUUCCAGGAAAAUCUUCUAAGCUUCAGGUUAUAAGGAACCGUACCCCAAACCGACACAGGUGGUUGGGAUGAGUAUUCUAAGGCGCUUGAGAGAACUCGGGUGAAGGAACUAGGCAAAGUGGUACCGUAACUUCGGGAGAAGGUACGCCGCUGACGGUGAUGGGAUUUACUCCCUAAGCUAUCGGCGGUCGCAGUGAAAAGGCCCCUGCAACUGUUUAUUAAAAACACAGCACUCUGCAAACGCGUAAGCGGACGUAUAGGGUGUGACGCCUGCCCGGUGCCGGAAGGUUAAUUGAUGGGGUUAGCUUCGGCGAAGCUCUUGAUCGAAGCCCCGGUAAACGGCGGCCGUAACUAUAACGGUCCUAAGGUAGCGAAAUUCCUUGUCGGGUAAGUUCCGACCUGCACGAAUGGCGUAAUGAUGGGGGCGCUGUCUCCACCCGAGACUCAGUGAAAUCGAAAUCGCAGUGAAGAUGCUGUGUACCCGCGGCUAGACGGAAAGACCCCGUGAACCUUUACUAUAGCUUCACAGUGGACUUUGAACCUGUUUGUGUAGGAUAGCUGGGAGACUUUGAAGCAGUGACGCUAGUCAUUGUGGAGUCGUCCUUGAAAUACCAGCCUGGCAUGUUUGAGGUUCUAACCUGGGUCCCUUAUCGGGAUCGGGGACAUUGUGUGGUGGGUAGUUUGACUGGGGCGGUCUCCUCCCAAAGAGUAACGGAGGAGCACAAAGGUACCCUCAGCACGGUCGGACAUCGUGCAACGAGCGUAAAGGUAGAAGGGUGCUUGACUGCGAGACCUACAAGUCGAGCAGGUGCGAAAGCAGGUCUUAGUGAUCCGGUGGUUCUGUAUGGAAGGGCCAUCGCUCAACGGAUAAAAGGUACUCCGGGGAUAACAGGCUGAUACCGCCCAAGAGUUCAUAUCGACGGCGGUGUUUGGCACCUCGAUGUCGGCUCAUCUCAUCCUGGGGCUGAAGCCGGUCCCAAGGGUAUGGCUGUUCGCCAUUUAAAGAGGUACGCGAGCUGGGUUUAGAACGUCGUGAGACAGUUCGGUCCCUAUCUGCCGUGGGCGUUGGAGAUUUGAGAGGAGCUGCUCCUAGUACGAGAGGACCGGAGUGGACGAACCUCUGGUGUUCCGGUUGUCACGCCAGUGGCAUUGCCGGGUAG